GGACCACUAGCUCAGUCGGUAGAGCACCUGACUUUUAAUCAGGUUGUCGGGGGUUCGAAUCCCCCGUGGUUCA
RNAcentral lists this transfer RNA (73 nucleotides) under bacterium. Its description in RNAcentral is "tRNA-Lys". It matches the Rfam family "tRNA". From Rfam's summary of the family: Transfer RNA (tRNA) molecules are approximately 80 nucleotides in length. Their secondary structure includes four short double-helical elements and three loops (D, anti-codon, and T loops). The record is from RNAcentral. RNAcentral also lists the same sequence under 3 other names.